ACAUGCUGACGAGCGGCGAACGGGUGAGUAAUGCUUCGGAAUCUGCCCAAUGGUGGGGAAUAACCAGCCGAAAGGUUGGCUAAUACCGCAUAAGUCCUACGGGGGAAAGCAGGGGAUCGCAAGACCUUGCGCCGAUGGAUGAGCCGAAGUCGGAUUAGCUAGUUGGUAGGGUAACGGCCUACCAAGGCGACGAUCCGUAGCUGGUCUGAGAGGACGACCAGCCACACUGGGACUGAGACACGGCCCAGACUCCUACGGGAGGCAGCAGUGGGGAAUAUUGGACAAUGGGGGAAACCCUGAUCCAGCGACGCCGCGUGUGUGAAGAAGGCCUGCGGGUUGUAAAGCACUUUUAGUGGGGAUGAAAAGCUCAGGGCUAACACCUCUGGGUCUUGACCUAACCCAAAGAAAAAGCACCGGCUAACUCUGUGCCAGCAGCCGCGGUAAUACAGAGGGUGCGGGCGUUAAUCGGAAUUACUGCGCGUAAAGCGUGCGUAGACGGUUAUGUAAGUCGGGUGUGAAAGC
This 522-nucleotide ribosomal RNA is filed under the name uncultured bacterium. Its description in RNAcentral is "bacterial SSU rRNA". It matches the Rfam family "Bacterial small subunit ribosomal RNA", at positions 83 to 601 of the family's 1533-position model. The record is from RNAcentral.